RNAcentral lists this long non-coding RNA (249 nucleotides) under Elaeis guineensis (African oil palm). RNAcentral's name for it is "long non-coding RNA (EGUI_LNC000039)". Lineage: Eukaryota; Viridiplantae; Streptophyta; Magnoliopsida; Arecales; Arecaceae. The record is from RNAcentral.
CUUGACUACACCCAGCAACCUUCCGUCACUGAAUUAGAAAUUCAGGUAGUCCAGUGCCUAAGUGCAGUGAGUUGCUUGCAAAUCACCGUGGUGGUCUCAGGUCGGAGGAACAUUUAUACCCAUAUCCCAUCGAAGCAAAUCUUGACAGCAGAAAUAGUUCCGGAGUUGGUCACGUUCAGUGCAGAUGUACCAUUACAUCUCACAUGUAUGCCAUACCAGUGUCUCCACACUCUUUGGUUAUGAGGACAA